GCACCAGGGCUCUGUUUUCUAGCUGUGUUGGUCUGAGACAAAAAGAAAUGCAGAACUCUAAAAUGCUUGGUUCAGAGUUGAUACCUUUUAGUAGAC
Molecule: long non-coding RNA, 96 nt
Organism: Gavialis gangeticus (Gharial)
Lineage: Eukaryota; Metazoa; Chordata; Crocodylia; Gavialidae
Exons: 3
Source: RefSeq, a predicted model, not a curated record